Long non-coding RNA from Vidua chalybeata, 587 nucleotides. RefSeq lists it as uncharacterized. Lineage: Eukaryota; Metazoa; Chordata; Aves; Passeriformes; Viduidae. The transcript has 3 exons. The record is from RefSeq and is a predicted model, not a curated record.
CAGAGCCAAGACACGAAAGAAAUGGAUUCUUGGGCUGCAGAGUCAGCCAGCCUUGAGACAGGAACAAAACAGUAACCAUCACUCAUGGGACCUGCCUGACUGGAGCUCAUCAGUGAACCCAAGCAAAGCUGAUGAAGUCCCACCACCACCAUGCAGGAGGCUGAGCCUUCCAAGAGUGUGGCUGCUGCUUUCCAGGCUGAGGAGGUUCUCCAGCUACCUGCAUUUUCAGAAACUUCCAGACUGAGGAACACUCCAGGGGUAACAAAGGAGGGACAGCAUGGACUGCUCAUCACUCCUGGCUGCAUCUGCAUCCCUGCCCCGGUGCCAGAGGGGAACCCUUCCUCCAGAGAACCCAGGAGGGUCCCUGCAAACCUCCUGCCUUCAGCUGGGACAACACGAGAUGGAGCAGGAGCUGUGUCUUGGUGUCUGCCAGAAAGGAGGCCCUGCUGAGCUGCUCACUGAAUAGCUCAGCCUGCUCAACUGCAGUUUGUUUGAGCUCAUAUUUUCUGUUAAAAAUGCCUGAUUGGUUCCCUAAAAUAACAAAAUAUUGUUCUCAUUUGUGAAGGCCAAGACUGCUUAAGCAGAGG